UACGUAGGGUGCGAGCGUUAAUCGGAAUUACUGGGCGUAAAGCGUGCGCAGGCGGUUUUGUAAGCCAGAUGUGAAAUCCCCGGGCUUAACCUGGGAAUGGCAUUUGGGACUGCAAGGCUUGAGUGCGGCAGAGGGGGGUAGAAUUCCACGUGUAGCAGUGAAAUGCGUAGAUAUGUGGAGGAAUACCGAUGGCGAAGGCAGCCCCCUGGGAUAACACUGACGCCUCAUGCACGAAAGCGUGGGGAGCAAACAGG
Molecule: ribosomal RNA, 254 nt
Filed under: uncultured bacterium
Lineage: Bacteria
Description: partial 16S ribosomal RNA
Rfam family: Bacterial small subunit ribosomal RNA
Source: RNAcentral